GUGCGUGCAGAGGUCUCAGUUCAACCCCGGAAUGUCGCAUCAUCAUCAGCUUCUCCUAGCGCCCUCGUAGUUCUCUAUCUAUGUCUAUCUUUAGGACUAUAAACACUGCGAGCAGAACCCGGUAGACUGAUAACCAUUACCUGAGGGUGCUACCGAACCCCGUGGUCCCUCUCACCCCCCCUGCCUGCUUAGGAAGCACAUCACCUCUGCGUCUUGUCUCUCUGCGCCCCGCUGCUGAGCGAGAUCAAUCAGACAGACAGAGCGGAUCUUCAAGGGGACAAUAUUCAUCAUCAUGAUCAAUAUCAACAUAUGGACCAAGCGAUAACGGAAUCAGCUCUGUUACUUUAGUAGAUUCUCUGCUUCCAGGCGCAUUAACGGGAUUCUGCCUCCGUCUCUGUGUCCUUGAGCUCGGCCUGUACAGUGAGUCAGUGGUUCCAGUCUGCUCUACCACUAGUCCUUCUCUCAACCCCCAACCCCUUCAUAAGCGAGACAAGAGAGAAGAGUGGAGUCGCCAAGGACACAGGGAGAACGCUGGAGGCAGCCCUAAUCCCUCGGAGUGGGAGAACAAAAUACUAGAAAAAUAACUGAGUCAGUUGUUUCUGAGAUGUUGCUGACUGGUCCCUGGUUAAAACCUUGACCCCUGACCCUACUGGUUAGCUAAUGAAGUCUGUGUUUAAGACUUGUGUCUAAGAACUCUUGAAAGAAGAAGGAAGGACCAGCGCUUGGUGACUGGCUGGUAUAAAUAAGCAGAAACACUCGCUGCUCCGAGAGAGAGAGAGAGAGAGAGAGAGAGAGAGAAAGAGAGAGAGAGAGACAGAGAGAGAGAGACAGAGAGAGAGAGAGAGAGAGAGAGAGAGAGAGUAAGUCUGGACUCGUGUGUUCCAGAUGAGUGGGUGAAACCUCUCCAGAGAAGGAAAUAGAGACCACAGAGAGAGAAGAGGACCAAACCAGUCUGUCAGAAUGUCUACCACCGCCACCAUGGGAGAGAUGGCUAACAGUGCUGUUGAGUUCUACCCUAAAGGCCGGAGCCGAGGUGGAGGUGGGAAGGGGGAGGGUAACAAUGCUGUAGAGGGAGAUUUUGGGGUGACGGUGGAGGAGCUCAGGGAUCUGAUGGAGCUCCGGGGAGGGGAGGCCAUUCAGAAGAUACAGGAGGCAUACGGAGACUCAGAGGGCCUGGCCACUAAACUGCUCACCAACACUAUUGACGGUCUAUCAGGUGACCAGGCAGACCUGGAUCGUCGUAGCAAGUCAUUCGGUCAGAACUUCAUCCCUCCUAAACAGCCCAAGACCUUCCUGGAGCUGGUCUGGGAAGCUCUUCAAGAUGUCACUCUUAUCAUCCUGGAGGUGGCAGCUAUCAUCUCCCUGGGCCUGUCCUUCUACCAACCCCCUGGAGAUGACACUGAGGCAUGUGGUAACGUGUCGGGAGGGGCAGAGGAUGAGGGCGAGGCUGAAGCCGGGUGGAUUGAGGGUGCCGCCAUCUUGCUGUCCGUCGUCUGUGUGGUCCUGGUGACGGCCUUCAAUGAUUGGUCUAAAGAGAAACAGUUCCGUGGACUACAGAGCAGGAUAGAACAGGAGCAGCGCUUCGCCGUCGUGCGGAAAGGAAACGUGAUCCAGAUACCUGUAGCUGACAUGGUGGUGGGGGACAUGGCUCAGGUCAAAUACGGGGACCUGUUGCCAGCGGAUGGUAUCCUGAUCCAGGGAAAUGACCUGAAGAUUGAUGAGAGUUCUCUGACUGGGGAAUCAGACCACGUUGGGAAGACUGUGGACAAAGACCCUAUGCUGCUCUCUGGUACCCAUGUGAUGGAGGGUUCGGGUAGGAUGCUGGUAACAGCUGUGGGGGUCAACUCUCAGACUGGCAUCAUCUUUACACUGUUGGGGGCCGGAGAGGGGGAGGAGGAAGAGGAGGAGGAGGAUGACAAGAAGAAGAAGGGGAAGCAGCCCGAAGUGAUGGUGGAGAACAACCAGAAUAAAGCCAAGAAGCAGGACGAGGCUGUAGCCAUGGAGAUGCAGCCUCUGAAGAGUGCAGAGGGAGGAGAGGUGGAGGAGAAGAAGAGAGGCAACACCACAAAGAAAGAGAAGAGUGUUCUACAGGGUAAACUCACCAAACUGGCUGUGCAGAUUGGGAAAGCAGGCCUGGUGAUGUCAGCUAUAACAGUGCUCAUCUUGGUGUUGUAUUUUGUCAUCCAGACGUUCGUAAUAGAAGAUCGUGUGUGGCUAGCAGAGUGUACUCCAGUCUAUGUCCAGUACUUUGUCAAGUUCUUCAUCAUCGGAGUGACUGUGUUGGUGGUGGCUGUACCUGAGGGCCUGCCGCUCGCUGUCACCAUAUCACUGGCCUACUCUGUCAAGAAAAUGAUGAAGGAUAAUAACCUGGUUCGCCACCUGGAUGCAUGUGAGACGAUGGGGAACGCUACGGCCAUCUGCUCCGACAAGACCGGCACUCUGACCACCAACCGCAUGACUGUCGUACAGACCUUCCUAGGUGACCAGCACCACCGGUCAGUUCCGGAACCAAAACAGGUCAACCCCAAGACUCUAGAACUACUGGUCAACGCCAUCGCUAUCAACAGUGCCUACACAUCCAAGAUCAUGCCUGCAGACCAGGAGGGGGGUCUAGCUAAGCAGGUGGGGAACAAGACAGAGUGUGGCCUGCUGGGCUUCGUUCUGGACCUACAGCAAGACUACAGCGCUGUCCGAGACCGGGUCCCUGAGGAACAGCUGUUCAAGGUGUAUACCUUUAACUCGGUGCGUAAGUCCAUGUCCACGGUGGUCCAGCAACGAGACGGAUCCUUCAGACUCUACAGUAAAGGAGCUUCUGAGAUACUACUGAAGAAGUGUUCGUAUAUCAUGGACGUUCAUGGAAAGCCACGUAAUUUCAGACCCAGAGACAGGGAGGAGAUGGUGAAACAGGUGAUAGAGCCGAUGGCGUGUGAAGGGUUAAGGACGAUCUGUAUCGCAUUCCGAGACCUUCCAUCCAAUCCCGAGCCAGACUGGGACAACGAAGAGGUCAUCGUUACUCAGCUGACCUGUCUCACUGUGGUGGGCAUAGAGGACCCUGUACGACCUGAGGUGCCUGAUGCAAUUCGUAAGUGUCAGAAAGCGGGCAUCUGCGUAAGGAUGGUCACAGGAGACAACAUCAACACAGCCAGGGCCAUAGCAGCUAAAUGUGGCAUCAUCCAUCCUGGAGAAGACUUCCUGUGUAUCGACGGCAAGGAGUUCAACCGGCGAAUUAGGAACGAGAAAGGAGAGGUAGAGCAGGAGAGGAUCGACAAGGUCUGGCCUAAACUACGAGUCCUCGCUCGCUCCUCCCCCACCGACAAACAUACACUAGUCAAAGGCAUCAUGGACAGCACUGUGUUGGAGCUGAGGCAGGUUGUCGCGGUAACCGGAGACGGGACAAACGACGGGCCGGCACUGAAGAAGGCCGACGUGGGCUUUGCCAUGGGUAUAGCCGGUACAGACGUGGCCAAGGAGGCAUCUGACAUCAUAUUAACGGACGAUAACUUCAGUAGCAUAGUGAAGGCUGUGAUGUGGGGGAGGAACGUCUACGACAGCAUCUCGAAGUUCCUCCAGUUCCAGCUGACUGUCAACGUGGUGGCUGUCAUAGUGGCCUUCACUGGGGCCUGCAUCACACAGGACUCUCCUCUGAAAGCAGUCCAGAUGUUAUGGGUUAACCUCAUCAUGGAUACCUUCGCCUCUCUUGCCCUAGCAACAGAACCACCCACAGAGUCCCUGUUGCUACGUAAACCCUACGGCCGCAACAACCCUCUCAUCUCCUUGACGAUGUUGAAGAACAUCCUGGGUCACGGAGUCUACCAGCUCAUCAUUAUCUUUAGUCUCCUGUUUAUAGGAGAGCGUAUCUUCAACAUAGACAGUGGUCGUAAAGCUCCGCUCCACUCCCCUCCGUCAGAACACUACACCAUCAUUUUCAACACCUUCGUCCUUAUGCAGCUCUUUAAUGAGAUCAACGCCAGGAAGAUCCACGGAGAACGCAACGUCUUCGACGGAAUCUUCUCGAACCCAAUCUUCUGUUCUAUCGUGUUCGGAACCUUAGUUAUCCAGGUGGUGAUCGUCCAGUGGGGAGGCAAGCCGUUCAGCUGUGCUCCUCUCAGCGUGGAACAGUGGCUCUGGUGUCUGUUCGUUGGAGUGGGAGAACUACUCUGGGGACAGGUGAUCGCCACGGUUCCCAGCGACCAAUUACCAUGUCUGAAGGAGGCGGGGGCAGCGAUGGCGGCGGUGGAGGAAGAGGAAGAGAUGGACGAAGGAGACGAAGAGGGAGAGAUUGACUGUGCUGAGAGAGAGCUACGACGAGGACAGAUACUGUGGUGUAGAGGACUAAACCGCAUACAGACGCAGCAGGAAGAUGGCGGCUACUUCGAAAGAACACCGACUGUCCCAACAUGUCUACGCUACUCUACAGACCCUGUCAUGUUCCCUGGUGGAAGGUCUAUAUCUGCGUGAGGCUGACAGUAUGCAGGAACUACUGUGUACUCCAUCGCAACACCGCACCGACAUACUGGCAUGGAUCUGUAGCAGCAUCUGUCCAUCUCUCGGUAAGAAACUGCCCUCACUCAGAUCUAAAGACCCAAUCUCCCUCAGCCAAGAGCUGGCAGUGUUUGGCCAGGAGAUGAUGCUGUGUAGAACAGACGACCUGGACCUGAUCACGGGCCGGGCCUGCCCCCUGCGCCAGCUGUGGUUCCUGGAGCAGCUGCUUACUUUAGUGCCUGACUCCGUGGACAGCAGUGAGGACAGCAGGGCCGGAGGAGAGGGCCUACUGAAGGAACUCUUCUGUCCUGAAGCUCUGCCUCACCUGACACAUGCUCUCACCCCUACUCUCAACCCCUGGCCCUCUGAUAUCAGGGGUGCCAGGAAGGGUCAGAGGGCACUACCCAGCAGGCCGAGGGGCGAGGAGGUUGCUGGUGUCACAGCCCUGCUGGAGUCCACUCACGCUGCCCUGGAACAGCUGCAUGACCAGUGUGUGUUCCUGCGUGGUGAGGAGGCCAGUCCUAGCCGGUUCUCUGUCUGCGCGUUACGCGUAGCUGUGUCUGAUCUGGCCCAGAUGAUGAGUGUGUUCAGCCGUGUGUACGACACGGACUUCAGAUCCUACUGCAGCAGAGACCCUCCCAGCCUCGGAUCACACACACACAUCUUCAGCAAUGUCCAUAGGUUGCUCACCGCCUGCAACACGGAGCUAGAGGUCCUGCAGCAGGUAUCAGAGGUGUCUGUAUGUCUGUCUGACACGGUGAAUGAGGUACACUCGGACCCUUGCUACUGGAGUCACGGACACAAACGCACCCUCUCCACCCAGUUGGAGGACCUUACCAAGAGAUACACGGAAUUCCUUUCUCUUCACCACGGAACGGAUAGCAAGCUACCGCUAACCGAACCCUGAACUCCAGACUGAAGCUAGCAGGCUACCGCUAACCUUACCCUAAACUCUACAGACAACUAUUAGCUUGCUACUGCUAACUCUCCAUGAUCACCACAUGUAGUGUUAACUGUCCUGCAUUUCAAUGCUAAGGUUGUUCCAGUAUCAGUGCUAACUGUUACUAGGGCAGUAGGCACAUCAUUAUCUAGCUUGGCUUUCCAUGUUCCCAUCUUAGUUUUUUUAAAAAUGACAAUACACCUGAAAUCACUGUUUUUGGAAAUGUUUUAAUGAGUGCACUAUAUAGGGUCCCAUUUGGGACAUCCACCACAUCAAAUAUGUUUUGCUUUCUCAACACCAGACAACAUUGUUUUAUGUUGUCUGUGUGUGAUAUUUGUCUCUCUCUUGGUUGCAAUGGGUCUCUUGAAAAAAAUAUUUUAUCUCAAUGAGACUAACCUGGAUAAAUAAAGGUUACUAGUUUCUGAA
Oncorhynchus kisutch (coho salmon) is the source of this 5848-nucleotide RNA transcript. It is a transcript of the gene named plasma membrane calcium-transporting ATPase 3, with no coding region annotated. The transcript has 35 exons. NCBI's taxonomy places the organism in Eukaryota, Metazoa, Chordata, Actinopteri, Salmoniformes, Salmonidae. The record is from RefSeq and is a predicted model, not a curated record.